Long non-coding RNA from Impatiens glandulifera, 281 nucleotides. RefSeq lists it as uncharacterized. The record is from RefSeq and is a predicted model, not a curated record. The transcript is spliced from 3 exons. NCBI's taxonomy places the organism in Eukaryota, Viridiplantae, Streptophyta, Magnoliopsida, Ericales, Balsaminaceae.
UUCACUGUCAAACUAGAAGAAGUAGAGGAUUGGCUGUAUGAAGAUGGGGAAGAUGAGAUUAACGGAGUAUACGUUGAUAAACUUGAUGAACUCAAGAAGCAAGGUGAUCCUAUAGAAGAGCGCCACAUGGUACAUACAGAGAGGGGUUCAGUGAUAGACCAGCUUGUGUAUUGCAUCAAUAGCUACAGAGAGGCUGCAAUGUCAACUGAUCCCAAGUUCGAUCAUAUUGAAUUAUCGGAGAAGGAAAAGGUACUGAAUGAGUGUGUGAAAGCUGAAGGCUG